This 1557-nucleotide ribosomal RNA is filed under the name metagenome. Its description in RNAcentral is "SSU rRNA". It matches the Rfam family "Eukaryotic small subunit ribosomal RNA", at positions 260 to 1801 of the family's 1831-position model. The record is from RNAcentral.
AAAUGGAUUGCGGGUUGUGCUUGCACGGCUGCGAUGUACCGAUGGAAAGUCUGCCCUAUCACCUGUCGACGGUAGGAUAGAGGCCUACCGUGGGGAUAACGGGUAACGGGGGAUUAGAGUUAUACCGGAGAGGGCGCCUGAGAGAUGGCGACCACUUCCAAGGAAGGCAGCAGGCGCGCAAAUUACCCAAUGGCGACAUGCCGAGGUAGUGUAGAACAAUAACGAUGGGCGGGUCUUAGAACUUGCCCAAUUGGAAUGAGUUUAAAUUACAACCCUAUUCGAGGAGCAACUGGAGGGCAAGUCUGGUGCCAGCAGCCGCGGUAAUUCCAGCUCCAGUAGUGUAUAUCAAAGUUGUUGCGGUUAAAAAGCUCGUAGUUGGAUUUCCCGGGGCUUAAGGGGUGGGAUGUGGUCAUUUGAACUGCGGCCGUUCCUUUUCCGGUGGCGGUCUGCGGAAUUUUUCCGUGGGGCGCAUGUACUUUGAACAAAUUAGAGUGCUCAAGACAGGCGAUUUUUUAUUGCUGUGAAUAGAUUAGCAUGGAAUACGGGUAUAAACUCUCUUCUCGGGAUUGUUGUUUUGACGAGGAGGGGGAAUGAUGGAUAGGGACAGGUGUGGGCAUUGAGAUUGUUACGUCAGAGGUGAAAUUCUUAGAUCGUAGCAGGAUUAGCAGACGCGAAAGCAUUUGACAAGGAUGUUUUCAUUGAUCAAGAACGAAAGUUGGGGGAUCGAAGACGAUUAGAUACCGUCGUAGUCUCAACCAUAAACGAUGCCAGCUAGGGAUUGGAGGGGGCACGAGACUUUCUCACUACUUUUUCAGCACCUUUACGAGAAAUCCAAAGCGUUUGGGUUCCGGGGGAAGUAUGGUCGCAAGGCUGAAACUUUAAGGAAUUGACGGAAGGGCACCACCAGGAGUGGAGCCUGCGGCUUAAUUUGACCCAACACGGGAAAACUUACCAGGCCCAGACAUAAAAAGGAUUGACAGAUUGAAAGCUCUUUCUUGAUCUUAUGGAUGGUGGUGCAUGGCCGUUCUUAGUUCGUGGAGUGAUUUGUCUGCUUGAUUGCGAUAACGGACGAGACCUUGUGUGGAUGUUGCUGGGCCCAAGAGAUUUUGUUGUUGGGACCCGGGACCUUCUGCGACUGCUGUAUGUGUUUUAACCAGAGGAAGUUCUAGGCUAAAACAGGUCUGUGAUGCCCUUAGAUGUUCUGGGCCGCACGCGCGCUACAAUGGGAGGGAUAGCGAGCUUGUUGCCGGGGCCUUGGCGCGAAAGUGUUGGGGUCUUGGUGCCUGGUCCGAGAGGGCUGGGGAAACUGGCAAGACCUUCUGUGACUGGGAUUGGUCUUUGUAAUUAUGGGCCAUGAACGAGGAAUUCCUUGUAAACGCACGUCAUCAACGUGCAUUGAAUACGUCCCUGCCCUUUGUACACACCGCCCGUCGCUUCUACCGAUUGGAUGAAUAGGUGAGUGUUUUGGAGGUCUGGCCGUUGUUGGGCAACUGACGGGGUUGGGCUGAGGAUGUGCAAAUCUGUUUAUCUAGAGGAAGAAGAAGUCGUAACAAGGUA